This 393-nucleotide ribosomal RNA is filed under the name uncultured Comamonadaceae bacterium. Its description in RNAcentral is "bacterial SSU rRNA". It matches the Rfam family "Bacterial small subunit ribosomal RNA", at positions 983 to 1382 of the family's 1533-position model. The record is from RNAcentral. Lineage: Bacteria; Pseudomonadati; Pseudomonadota; Betaproteobacteria; Burkholderiales; Comamonadaceae.
GACAUGUACGGAAGUUGCAGAGAUGGCUCGUGCUCGAAGAGAGCCGUAACACAGGUGCUGCAUGGCUGUCGUCAGCUCGUGUCGUGAGGUGUUGGGUUAAGUCCCGCAACGAGCGCAACCCUUGUCAUUAGUUGCUACGAAAGGGCACUCUAAUGAGACUGCCGGUGACAAACCGGAGGAAGGUGGGGAUGACGUCAAGUCCUCAUGGCCCUUAUAGGUGGGGCUACACACGUCAUACAAUGGCUGGGUACAGAGGGCUGCGAAGCCGCGAGGUGGAGCGAAUCCCAGAAAACCUGUCUCAGUCCGGAUUGAAGUCUGCAACUCGACUUCAUGAAGGCGGAAUCGCUAGUAACCGCGAAUCAGCAGGUCGCGGUGAAUACGUUCCCGGGCCUU